Molecule: ribosomal RNA, 36 nt
Filed under: Mortierella zonata
Lineage: Eukaryota; Fungi; Mortierellomycota; Mortierellomycetes; Mortierellales; Mortierellaceae
Description: partial 28S ribosomal RNA
Source: RNAcentral
UCGAUCUCAAAUCAAGUAAGAUUACCCGCUGAACUU